This is a non-coding RNA of Meleagris gallopavo (turkey), 1227 nucleotides long. The record is from RefSeq and is a predicted model, not a curated record. Lineage: Eukaryota; Metazoa; Chordata; Aves; Galliformes; Phasianidae.
ACAGCGAUUUGGUAUCAGCCCUGGCCCUGAUUCUGCUCGUAUCUGCCGCCGUGCGCGAUGGGACCCGCCGGCCCCGAGUCCGCCAGCAGAGCGCCCGGCGCUGUCCGUGGUGCUGAAAGCACCGCUCCUAGGAGAGAGCGAACGGGCAGAGCGCACCUGCUGAACAGGCAGAACAGUCUGCAUGCCACAGGAGGGAUACCAAUGCCUGAGCUGUCUGAAUUUCUGAAGAGGAGAUGUCCUUUCACUGCCCCAGCCAAAAGAGGCAGAAGGAGCCCCCCGCAGUGUGCACAUCACUUGUGCUUCUUGGGAUUCCUGAAUCACUGAUCUUCUCUGAGGAGUAGCCUUCCCUGAGGACCAUCAGAAUAAAGAACUGCAAAGUGACAGUUCCUUGUAGCAUCAUCGCGGACCGACUCGGUUUGUCUCUCCUGCUCAGCUUUGCCCUGUGAGUGGCUGCUGGGACCACAGGCAGAUUAGGAGCCGACAGUCCUGCCCUGGAGCUGCCCCCUGCAUCGCUUCCUGCCCGUGCAUCUUAGUCCAGAACUGAGGAAUAUCCUCACUGCAACAGACUUGCUUUGACAAAUUCCUGAUAAGCUUUACUUUGAUGCCUUUAAAUAAAACAGAUGCUUAGAGGAAGAGAGUAUUCCUGCAUACUUCUGUACCUGGAUGAUCCCCCAUCCCCAGGAUGUGCUUUGCUGAUCUUAGGAUCAGAAAUCAUACAAUCAUCUUCUAUUUCUGCACCUCCCCGUUCAUCUGAACUGCUCCUUGCCAUGACAGGAAUGGCUGGAAAUGGUCACAUAGGAGAUGGCAUUCUGAAAAAGACACAUAUGCUGAGGGUACACAAUCUGUAACACGCCUGUUGUAGCCCAAAAUGUCACAUGGUUGGGUGUGUAGGAACUUUCCUUGGAUUCAUGACCCCAAAUAUUCUGGGGGAUGCAGAGCUCCCAAAGAGAGCUCGCAAGCACAGCCGGUAAGAGGUCUGGUUCAGAUAAAAGAUGUUUCGAAUUGCAGGUGAAUGUCUUUGAAAGGGAACAGCGAGAGGAACACCAGAAAUCUGUUCUAUUUGAUCAGAGCAUUAAAACAUUUACAGGUAGAGCUGCACACACCCACCUUCAGAUCUAUAGUCCUGUGCCAGGAGAGAUGUGUGCAGUGGAUGUGCAAGUGUGUCCCAAACGUUUAGAGCACACCAGAAUCGAGGGGCUGGAACAAUUGAUUUAUUUCCUUCUUUCU